UGUGACUAAUUUACACUGAUAAGAGGUAACUCAACACUAAGAAAUAGUCAAUCUACCUUCAAAAAAAAAGUACAAAAUUAAACUAAAACAAGCUAUACCUAUCAAAUAUUUUACUAUCGACGUUGAUCCCAAUAGCUUCACCAGCAGUUUUUGAUCCCUCGGCUUCCUAUCAAGCCCAUAUAUAAUAUUGAGGUUAAUAUUAGCAAGAACAACAACUUAAAAUAUCAAAAUUAAGUGCAUGCCAUCGAAAUAUAAAAUAAAGUAGCAAAAUCUUUGAAGAAACACCAAACAAAUUGAACAGAAAAUAACAAAAAAAUGAACUAAAAAUAAAAGAAAGAAGUACUGAAACCAUUAGAACAAUAAUGUUUUCUAAUAAUAGUAAUUUUCGUUCUGUUGCCCAUUUUUCUAGUAAUAGAUUACUAUUUUGAUGUUAUAUAUUCAAUUAACUGAAUAAAUCAUAGAUUAUCGGACUGAACAAAAAAAAAUAGAACAGAAUUGGGGAAAAUCGCUACACUUCCAAACAUGCAUGAACCCUAAUAAAGAGAAAAGAACUUUUGUUACUAAAUAUGCAUCAUUACCUGAAGAUUAUUGAAGUUGCUACACGAAUUUUAUGUACUUUUUGUGUUUUGAAUCUCGAUUCUUCUAGCCGGAGAAAGUAAUUGGGAGAAAUAGAAGA
Molecule: long non-coding RNA, 676 nt
Filed under: Nicotiana tabacum (common tobacco)
Lineage: Eukaryota; Viridiplantae; Streptophyta; Magnoliopsida; Solanales; Solanaceae
Description: long non-coding RNA (NTAB_LNC017422)
Source: RNAcentral